Thalassophryne amazonica is the source of this 494-nucleotide long non-coding RNA. RefSeq lists it as uncharacterized. Lineage: Eukaryota; Metazoa; Chordata; Actinopteri; Batrachoidiformes; Batrachoididae. The record is from RefSeq and is a predicted model, not a curated record. The transcript has 3 exons.
UCAUGGGCUACACCCCCUAACACCUCAUGGGGUGUUUGUUGUUCCAAAGCCAGCUGGAAGAUAUAAUCCCCCAGAGAUGUCUUGGGUCUUCCCCGGGGCGUGUUCCCAGUUGGACUUGCCAGGAAGACGUUCCUGGGGAGACGACCAGGGGGCAUCUUCACCAGAUGCCCAAACCACCUCAGCGAGCUCCUUUCGAUGUGAAGGAGCAUCGAAUUCCUCACAGAUAUUUAAACUUCACCUUGUCUAUGAGCGCAAGCCCAGAUACCCUGCGGAAGAACUUCACACAAAGCUAAUUUUGCUGCAAACACAAAGGUGGUUGUUCCCUCCGCAAAGCAGCGCCGAGCUCACAGCUGUGAGAAGUAAAAUGUUUUUGGCACUUUUCAAGGACUUCAUCAUAAGAUAUUACUUUAGCGUUUAGUUGACCAAUCACUGUUUGCAGCGUGGCCUUCGCUAGAUACCAUAUUUUAAUUUCCAGAGUAUACAAUGGGGAAAAA